RNAcentral lists this ribosomal RNA (468 nucleotides) under uncultured bacterium. Its description in RNAcentral is "partial 16S ribosomal RNA". It matches the Rfam family "Bacterial small subunit ribosomal RNA", at positions 28 to 507 of the family's 1533-position model. The record is from RNAcentral.
GACGAACGCUGGCGGCGUGCUUAACACAUGCAAGUCGAACGGAAAGGCCCUGCUCUUGUUGGGCUCUCGAGUGGCGAACGGGUGAGUAACACGCGAGUAACCUGCCCUUAAAUUUGUGAUAUAUUCAGGAAACUCGGGCUAAUACCGCAUAGGAGAUCUUGCUGCACGUGGGGGGUUGGAAAGUUUCGGCUGUUGGGGAUGUUCUCGCGGCUUACCAGCUUGUUUGGCGGGUAGUGGCUUACCAAGGUUUUGAGGGGUAGCCGGCCUGAGAGGGUGACCGGCGACCUUGGGACUGCGAGACGGCGCAGACGGGUACGGGAGGCAGCAGUCGGGAACAUUACGGAAUGGGGGGACGCGUGAUGCAGCGAUGCCGGGUGCGGGAUGCCGGCCUUCGGGUUGUAAACCGAUUUGUCAUUAGCCGAAGCGUGCGUGACGGUACUGGGUAAAGAAGCACCGGCUAACUACGUG